CCUGUAGUACGCGCCGAUUUGACGAUCAGCUUGCGGGCGCGAAAAAAAUGCCGCUAAAGCGAGUAAACCCGCUU
This 74-nucleotide non-coding RNA is filed under the name Candidatus Muproteobacteria. Lineage: Bacteria; Pseudomonadati; Pseudomonadota. The record is from RNAcentral.